This 180-nucleotide ribosomal RNA is filed under the name uncultured bacterium. RNAcentral's name for it is "partial 16S ribosomal RNA". It matches the Rfam family "Bacterial small subunit ribosomal RNA", at positions 331 to 508 of the family's 1533-position model. The record is from RNAcentral.
ACGAACUCCUACGGGAGGCAGCAGUGAGGAAUAUUGGUCAAUGGGCGAGAGCCUGAACCAGCCAAGUAGCGUGCAGGAUGACGGCCCUAUGGGUUGUAAACUGCUUUUAUGCGGGGAUAAAGUGAGCCACGUGUGGCUUAUUGCAGGUACCGCAUGAAUAAGGACCGGCUAAUUCCGUGC